Molecule: unclassified non-coding RNA, 2405 nt
Filed under: Orussus abietinus
Lineage: Eukaryota; Metazoa; Arthropoda; Insecta; Hymenoptera; Orussidae
Description: uncharacterized LOC105698506, transcript variant X1
Source: RNAcentral
UCAGCCUAGAAAUGGUCAGACUAAAGUAGUCUUCUUCCCUAGUAGAUAAAUCGACUUUCCAGUCAGACACAGAUAGAAAAAAAAACUAGUCAGACGGAAGUAGAAAAUCCACUUUUAUUCAGACUAAUCACUAGCCUCGAUUUUGCACAGACAGGUUGAUAAAUUAUGUUUAAGUCAUACGCGCGAUUAAAAUCGUAUAUUAACAUCGUAAAGAAGGCAUUCAUGUCCACCAGGGUGCAUGCAGAUAAAUCGGGGAAUUCGAGCAGAUCCGAAACUCGACCGAUCCCAUUGCGGAAUGGAAGCGGAUAGAAGGGUGUCCGAGUGGGCUAGUGCGCGCCUCCCUCUGCGCAUCCCUCUACGCAGGGUAUCAGGGGCGGCGAGUCGGCCGCCUCGGCAGUACUCGGGAUGCUUCGGGCGGGCUCGGAGCGCGGGAGGGCGCGCACCACUGGCAGUCGUCGAGCUCGAGCAGUUCGGGGCCGUUCGACGCGGCUCGGUUCGGUCAGUACGCCCCCGCGCCGUCGACCGGGCCGCACGUCGAUGCUCGUCGCCGCGCCGUAGCGGGACCCGCGCAGCCACCGUCCCCGCGUCCCGCUGCAGGGUCGUCGGCGGGGUCGUUCGUUUCCCGGUGGCCGCGGUCCCCGUCGAAAGGGCCACUUCGGAACCGAGGUCUACCUUAAAUCCGGAAAUCAAAGAAGAGGAACUCACCAAUUACGAGAAACUGCCAACGUUACCACGAAAUCAAGAUCCUGCCAAAGAUACCUUACCCCCGAGUGAUCGCCAAUCGCAUUAGUCGUUAACGACCUUAGGUUAAGAGAUUUCGAGGAGGCGUUCAUUAUAUAGGAUAAAGAGGGGAGCAAGAUGAAGAAAGUAGCGCCAAACUCGAGUUAGACCGGAGAGACCGGUGGGAUGGUGUCGGGGUGGUGCCCCUGCGUUCCCCUAGGGCGCCGGGAGUCCCCGGCGGCGACGGGGAAUUCAAACUGCAGCUACGGCGCCCCCUUCUCCGUCAGCGCCGCGACCGACCGCGCGGAGAUGGUUCAAAUGUUCUACUACGAGAACCGCGGCAAGUGCUGCAAGAAAUUGCUUAGAUACAACGGAUAUACGAACAAGGUUCUCCUUUUCCCCGAAGAAGGCUGGGCAAGAAGUGCAAGUAGUUCCUAUUGGACCCUGACGCCAUUUUGGUGGAGCAGGAAUCGGUGUAAAGUUGUCGAGGUCGCCGGAACCAGAAGGUACAGCACCCAGGCCAAAAUGGUGGACACGGGUACUGGCACACUCUACAUUAUAGGUUCCUUCAAAAGAAUGACAACGGAUCCAGAUUUCAAGUUAUACCUGACGUCCAACGUCUCGUCGAGCGACUUCAACAUGGGCUACAGCAUGACGGGCACCUUGGAGCGUGGCUGCAAGAAGACGAACAGCUUCCAGAUGACGCAUUUCGCGGUAAUAAGGCGACGUGAUUACGAGAAGGCCUAUGAGAACUCCAAUCCCACCUAGUGCCCGUCCAUGCCCACGCUCUGUGGGGACUGCGAAAGCUGCACUUAAGGCGUAGCUUGAGUAUUUUUACCGUGACAGGGUUCUCGAGCCUCGCCUUUGCGGAGAGGUGCAGGUCUCGUGAGAAAAUUCGGUACCAGGGAUGUUCUAAGCCGCUCCAUCGAAGCCUCCUUGAGAUGUGUCGAUCACUGAACCGAGCAGUGUACCUGGAAUUCGUCGAAAAGCUGGAUUAUCCCGGUUUUUAGAUGUCUUUCAAAUUUUUUAUUUUUUUUCAUAGGCUCGCGGGUCGUCUAGCGAGCGAACUACUUAUGAUUUAAUUGCGGUACAAGCACUCGUGCGCGAACAUAACCUCUGAUAAUCUCGAAGGGAGUUUACGAAGAGGUUAUGGUGGUCCAGCGAGGCAGAUUUCCAGGGGAAACCCUGAAGAGACCUUCGUAGUGGUCGACGGCGACGAGGGUGCAUCUGGAGCGGCGUAAUUUUAAGAUUGUACCGCGCCAAAAGAGAGAUUAUAACGUCCGUAAUAGUCUUUAUUAAUUUUAAGGGAAAUCAAUUGGCACGUUGACGGACCCUCGAGGAGGUUAUCCGGAAAUGCGCGCAGUGUAAUACCUAAAAGUGAAGAUAAGUUACAUGGGUGUUAAUGCCAACGAGUCCUUUGCCAAAGUACUAGAAUGGGAAACAUAAUUACUUGGAGGUGGAGAAGUGGCUACUAUCACCACGUCUGCUUUUUCAAAAGCUGAGUUGCACCAAAGACCGGGAUCCUAAAAUGGAGAAAAUGGAACAUGUCAUGAAAUUUAUUCAACAUUUCUAACGCAUGACGACGGGAUGGUCGACCUAAGAUAAUCAGUGGGGGAACGAAACGAAAUGAAAUUUCAUGAGAAAUGAUUAAAGAACAAUGAUAAGAGACUGUAAUGAAAAUAAUU